This 23926-nucleotide long non-coding RNA is filed under the name Vitis vinifera (wine grape). Its description in RNAcentral is "long non-coding RNA (VVIN_LNC005630)". Lineage: Eukaryota; Viridiplantae; Streptophyta; Magnoliopsida; Vitales; Vitaceae. The record is from RNAcentral.
UUUCCCCAACCAAAUGAUUUGAAGAAAGAUCAAGCAAAGUUAGAUUAGUUGAGAUUCCAAAAUCUUCUGGUAUGCUCCCUGUAAUAUCGUUACCGGCCAUCUCCAGCCUUUGUAGUUGUGGGCACCUUCCCCAGUUAUGAGAGAGUUCGCCAUGAAACCUGUUGUAGCUCAAAUCGAUGUAUUCCAGGUUUGGACAGUCACCAACUACCUCAGAUAUAUUUCCAGUGAGUUGAUUUCCCCCGAACAGAGCUCUGGUUAAGUUUCUGCAAUUUUUCAUGCUUUUAGGGAUGGGACCACUGAGAAGGUUGUCGCUCACUGUAAAGCGUACCAGAGAUCCACCUUGGCAAAUUCCUUCUGGUAAAGAGCCAGACAGCCGAUUUGUGUCGAUUUCUAGCACAACCAACUUAUGAAGUUUCCCAAUUUCUUUAGGAAAGUAACCAGAAAGAUGGUUAUCACGGAGGAAUAAAAUUUCUAAGUUGGUCAGAUUACCCAGUGAAGUAGGAAUGGAACCAUUGAGUUGGUUUUCUGAAAGUUCUAGAUCAACAAGAGACUUCAAGUUACCUAUUUCUGGAGGAAUGGGACCGGAAAGUUGAUUGGCAUAGAGAUGCAGGAGGGUUAGGCCACUGAGAUCACCCAAGGACGCAGGGAUUGGACCAGAAAGAUUGUUUGCGUAGAGGCUUAUACCUUGCAGAGAUGUCAAAUUUCCUAUUUCUGGUGGGAUAUGCCCGGAGAGUUGAUUGUUGAAUAGGUACAACGUGGUUAAACGUUUCAAGUUUCCGAAAGUGGAAGGGAUGAGACCUGUGAGAUUGUUGGUAUCCGAGUAUAUCUCAACAAGGUUGGCGAGAUUUCCCAUUUCUGGAGGAAUGGAACCGGAAAGUUGAUUUUCAUAGAGAUACAAAGAGGCCAAGUUGCUCAAAUUACCCAAAGAAGCAGGAAUAGAACCCUCCAGUUGGUUGGUGUACAAAGCAAGCUCAUAAAGAGAUGACAACUGACCGAUUUCAUGAGGAAUUGAACCAUUGAGCUGAUUUUGAACCAGGUGCAGGACCUCAAGGUUAGUUAAUAGGCCAAUUUCCGGUGGAAUCCCUCCUGAGAACUGGUUGGUGGACAGAUCAAGGUAUUUGAGCUUGGAGAGGAGACCGAUUUGGGGUGGGAUAGGACCAGAGAGGUUGUUGAUGCAGACAUCAACGUAUGCAAGAUUGGGAAAAGAUGAAAAUGAGAAGGCUUGGAGCGUACCUCUUAAACCGGACUCUGUGAGGUUUAUUCUGAUGACACUCCCUGCAUGGUUGCAGGAUAUCCCAUACCAUUUGCAUGGACCGGUUGCCGUUCCAUGGUGGGUAGAAGAAUUGGUGGAGUUGUUAGGAUCCGGAUAAAGAGUCCACGAAAGGAGGAAAGAAUGGUUAUGGUUGUGAAGGGUAGAUUUCCAUUUGAGGAGAGCUUGUGUUUCUUCAUUAGAAUAAGAAGAAACAUGAUCUGAACAAAUUAACAUAACCAAGAGGAGUAGGGAAACAAGGGAGAGCAUUUUCUGUAAGGUUGAGAACGCCAUGUAUAGUUUUAGUUGAUAAAUUGCAUAUGCUGCUUCACAUCUUCUUUUAUACACAUUUGGUUCCUUUGGUCCUUUUAGGUGACUGUCUUGUUCACGCGUAUUCCCACAGGGAAGAAAGUUGCGUUUUAAUGUCAAGAUCAAGGUCCUUUGAAGCAUGGCUCCUUUUUCUUUCUUUUUUCCAUGGAUUGCACUGUACUAGUAUGGUGGUCUUCCUGUGUGAUUAUGGUGGUUGAAAUCUUCUCUUUUUGCAAAUUUGGAAAUUAAGUUUAGCAGGUGUUGUUGAACAAUAUUUUUAAUUGUUUUUAGUUGAUUUCACUUAUUUUUAAGGGUUGUUUUAAAAAAAAAAAAAUUAUAUAAAUAGGAAGAAUGAUUAAAAAUAAAAUAAUAGAUAUAAAAAUUAUUUUUAAAACAUAUUUAAGAACAUUAAAAAUAAGUUAAAAAUACCAAUUUCUUAAACAAAAUUUUAUUUUACAAAAUAUCAGAGAACAAUUUUAAUUUUUUUUUUCAAAAAUUGUUAUUCAUAAUUGUUUGUAAAAAUAUUCUAUUAAAUAGAGCCUAAUUCUUUUUGGGUCUUUACUUUCAUGUUUAUAAUCAUAAUGGUUUGCCCUUUAUUAACAAACUUGAAGGUUUGUUUUAGUUAAAUAAUUGCAAAAGAAAAUUUUAGUAUGUCAUAUUUAAUCACUUAAGUGGAUUUAUUAAAACUUAGGUGAUGUUUUUAAUAGUAUUUAAUAAUGUUAAGUAUUAAGUUGUUUAUUUUUUUUUAAUAUUUUAUUUCAAUUAAGUAUUAAAAAAUAUAGAAAAAUUAAUAUGUUGCUUUUGAUAUUAAGAAAAAGUCAAAUAUUUUGAUUUUUUUCUAUUUAAUGAAAAAAUUUAAGAAAUAAGUAAUAAGUUAACAAAAAGUGAAAAAAUAAAUAAUUUGAAAUCUAAAAGCAAAUUACUUUAAAAAAAAAAGUUAAAAAAAAUGUCAUCUUAAUAAUUAAUAUUUAGAAAAUUUUAAAGAAAGUGAAAAAGAAAAAAAUGAAGUGAAAAAAAUGGAUUUUAAGUUAAUAAUUUAUUUUUAUAUGGUUUUUAAAACUUAUUUUAAUUAUUUUCUUUUAUAUAUAAAAAUUAAAUUAUUUAAAAACAUUUAAAAAUUUAUAAAUAAUUUUAAUUAUAUUUACUAACUUUUUUUUAUGUAUUUUAAUCAAACAUUAGAAAAUACUUUUUUUAAAUAUCUUUUCGUCUCUCCUUUCUUAGAACUAAAGAUAAGAAUGAUAAUUAAAUAUGAUUUAAAUUUAAAUUAUAUUUAACUUGUUGACUUAACAUUUAUUAUCUAAUUUUUAAUUUUUAAGUAUUAAGAUUAUUUGUUCAUAUUACUUAAUUUUUUAAAAAUUAUUAACCUCAUAUUAUCAAGUAACAAGAUUAUUUGAGAGGUACAAGGAAGAUAAAGGGACAUGGGCUGUUCAGGUAAAAAAAAAAAAAUGAAAUUUAGAAAAAGUUAAUUUUUUUGAGCUGUUAUUCUAAGUUUUUUUUUUUUUUUAGGUUUUAUAGGUUUGAUAGGACUUUAUGAUUGGACUCCAUAAUUUCCCUUUGGUCCUUUUCAUUUUUGAAUUUCACUGAGUUUAGCCCACUCUAUUUAACCCAAUUUUUAAGGCCCAUUGAGUUUAUAUUGAAACCCAGGUCUACUUGAUAAUAUGAGGUUAAUAAUUUUAUACACACUCACUUUGUAAGAUUGAAUCCCAGCCAUUGAUUUUAUAUUGAAACCCUAACCCAGAGGUACUUUUAGAGUCUUUAGUAUGAUAAGAAUAGGAUAUAUAUAAUAUCAUUUGGUAGGAUAUGAUAGAUACUUAUAUUUUAGAAUAUAUUUUUUGAGAAAUAUGAUAUUUUUGAAUAUUAUGUAUUUACUAUAUAUUAUAUUAUAUUUAUAUUAUUUAUAAAAUAAAUAAAUAAAUUAUUUUUUAAAUAAUAGAUACUUAUAUUUUAAAAUAUAUUUUUUGAGAAAUAUGAUAUUUUUAAAUAUUAUCUCUAAAUAGUGUAAAGUAUUAUAUAUAUAUAUAUAUAUAUAUAUAUAUAUAUAUAUAUAUAUAUAUUUAUAAAAUGAAUUAUUUAAUUAAUUAAAAAUUAAUUUUUAAUUAUUUAAUAUUUAUUUAAAAUAAAUAUCAUAUUGAUCCAAGUGAAGCUCAUCCCUUGAAUAGUAAUUCCAAAAGUGCUACAGUCAGCAAGAAAUUGCAUGAUAUGCUCUUGCUUUGCUUCUCCUGUAGCUUUAGCCUUUUCACAGAUCAUCUGUCUAAGGUUUUCAAGAAGGUCCAAAUUUUUCAGCUUGAAAAAUGAAAAUCUGGAAAUUUGACAUUCUUGGCUUUCUUGAGAAAGUUUUGAAUCUUCAUUUGGUUUUGAAAGUUCUUUUUGAAAUUCAUUUUGAAAAUCUUUUGAAAAUGCAUCUUUGGAUCCUUUUGCUUUUUUCCUGCAAAUGAAAUUUUCAAGAUCUGUAUCCAUUGGUGUGCAAUGUAUAUCAGAACUUGAAGGGUUAGAAAAACUUUCUAAUUUAUCAUUUAACUGUUUAAAAUGGAAAGAUAAUGCAUUUAAAGCUUCCAACUUUUGAAUAUCACUUUUUGCAUUCCAGAGGUUGUCUAAAAUGCAUUUUUGUGAUCUGUCUAAACCUUCAAUAUCUUUAUGAAUUCGAAAUGACAUAUUACAUUUAGGGAAUACUGGAAGAGUAAAUUUCCCAAAUGUAAUUCUUUCUUGCUCCAUCUGUAAACAAAAUUCAAAUAUUAGUAUCUCUAUUGAAGAAUAAAACAAAUAUCUAAUGAUUUUGUCUUUAUCAUACCAAAUUUGAAAAUAUAUUGAGUUUAUGAGAGGAACAUAAUUUCUAAUAAUGAUGUUAAAAUGAGGUUUUGAAUAUUUUGAAAUCACAUUUAUUGACUUAUAUGAGCAUGCACAAAUACCAUCACAAUCUUUUUGAUUAUCUGAUUCUUCUUCUAGACUUGACUCGUCACUUGAUAUUUCUUGAGUUAUAAGGAUUUGAUUAUCUUCUUCUGAUUCAUAAUUUUCACUUGAUUCAUCAUUUUCUUUAUCAAUCAUUAAUCCUAUCAUUAGAUUUUUGAGUUUAUCACUUAUUUCUAAUGAAUUGAUUUUAUUUUCUAAUUGACAAUCUCUUGAAUAAUGACCUACUUUUCCACAUUUAUAACAAGUAGGUGUUUUCUUUUUUAAAUCUGAGGAUUGUUUUUAUCAGUGUUAUGAGUGAUUUCAACUGAAUCGGUGUCUACCAGGAUGAACUCAUAGAAUUGACGAGUUUUCAAAGGAUCAUUUGAAUUAAAGUUGACUCCUUGAGGAAAGAUGUAAGGAAGAAUUUUAGGAAUCUCUUCAAAAUUGAACUCUGGCUCAAUGAAAGCAAUUUCUAAUGUUUUGGGUUUUUUGACAUAUUGACUAUAGGAAUAUGAAGGAGAAGGAAACUGAGAAGGAGAAGGUAAUGUUGAAAUAGUGUUGGGGCUUGAUUUACUCUGAACAACAAUAUUUUUAGGGGAUGAUUUAGAAGCUUGAAUAAAACUUUUUGAAGGUUGAAGAGGAGGAAAAUCUGGACUCAAAACUUGAAAAGAAUUUGAUGUCUGCAAAGGAAAAGUAGGACGAACAUUUGAAAAGUUUGAAAUCAUAGCAUAUGAUGCUUUGGUUUUCUUGGAUGAUGAAGGAAGUUGAGGCCUAACGGGAGUACCCAUUAGGAUGGAGAAGGAUCCUUACCCUGCAAAAACUCCCGAGUAAGGAAGUCAGGAAGGGAAUUCAACUCUCCUUUGAUAAAUUCGAUUUCAAAAUCAAAGUUUGAAAGUAAAGCUUGCCAUCUUGCAAAAAUUUGUUUUGAAACCAAAUUUUUAACAUCUUUUUGUAAAAUAUCUUUUGCAGCUUUGCAAUCGAUUUUCAAAAGAAAUUUCUUGUUUAUCAAAUCACUUUGAAAUUUUGAAAUACACAAAACUAUUGAUAAAACUUCUUUUUUGACAGUUGAAUAAUUUAUUUGAGCGCCCAACCAGAUCCCUGAAUGAUAUCUAACUAUAUGCACUUGAUUGUUAUAUUCUUGCUUUAAUAUGCCUCCAUAACCUAAAUUAGAUGCAUCUGAUUCUACAAUGAGUAAUGCAUUUGGAUGAGGAAUGCUGAUGCAUGGUAAUCUUUUGACUCUUUGUUUAAUUUCUUUAACCAGACUGGUAUGAUGCUCAUUCCAUGCAGGUGCAUUUUUUGUAAGUCUUUUGUAUAAUGGUUCACAAAUGAUUCUCAAAUCUUUGAAGUAAUCAGAAACAUAAUUUAAACAUCCUAGAAAUCUUUGCAAUUGUUUUUUAUCUUUUAUUUCAUCAGGAAAUUUGUCAGCGAAUUCUAUUGAUCUUUGAAUCGGUUUUGUUUUUCCUUGAAAAAUUUCAUGACCUAAAAAUCUGAUUUUUGUUUGAAACAAUUUCAUUUUUGGAGCAGAACAAGCCAUUCCAUUUGCUUUAAUGACAUUAAAAAACUUUUUCAAAUGAAUAAAAUGUUUUUCUAAUGAAUCAGAAAAUACUAAAACAUCGUCAAUAUAUACAAUGAUGAACUGAAAAUGAGGAUUAAAAAUAUCAUUCAUAAUAUUUUGAAAUUCAGAAGGGGCAUUUUUGAGACCAAAAGGCAUGACAUUCCAUUCAUAAUGACCAAAAGGGACAGUAAAAGCAGUUUUGUACCUAUCUUCUUCUUUAAUUUGAACUUGCCAAAAUCCUGAUUUCAUAUCAAAUUUUGAAUAAAUGACAGAACUAUGAAGUCUUUUAAGUAAAUCUUGCUUAUUAGGAAUAGGGUAUCUUAUCCAUUGUAAUACUUUAAUUAAAGGUUUAUAAUUAAUGACUAAUCUAGGUGCUCCUCUUUCUAUCUCAGCAGCAUUUUGAACAUAAAAAGCAGCACAACUCCAAGGAGAUUUUGAGGGUCUAAUUAAUUUCUUCUUUAAUAAUGAAUCAAUUUCUUGUUUGCAAUAUUUCAAAAGUUUUUCAUUCAUUUGAAUCGGCCUAGCCUUAGUAGGAAUUUUGGACUCAUCAAAAUUUUGAAUGUAAGGCAAACUUAUCUCAUGUUUCUUUCUUGACCAAAAAGCAUUAGGAAGAUCAGAACAAAUUUCAUUUUGAAAAAGAUCUUGAAUCUCUUUAAUUUUCUUUUGAACUUUAUCUUCUAAGAGUUGUUCAUCUACCUUUUUAUAUUGAAUUUCUUUUGAUAGAUAAUUUAUAUGAGCUUUCUUUCUUUGAAUUAAAUUUAUGUUCUUAUUUAUUGAAUCACUUUGAACUUGAUGUAUUUCUUUUUUAGUUAAUGGAUAUAUAAAGGGAAAAAAUAUGGUAUUUCCUAAUAUUGUAGUUUUGACACCUUCAUCAUUUACUUGAAAAGGGUAAAGUAAGGUAAUAAAAGGAGUUCCUAAUAUUAGAGGUUCAUUCAUAUUUUGUACUAAUAUAAAUUGAGUUCUAAAACAAUAAUUAUCUUGACAUAUAUGAACAUUUUGAAGUUUAUAUUUUAUUUCUAAUUUUCCUUUAUUUGCAGCAAAAAGUUCUUGUCCUGUUUUUUCAUAAUAUUUAGUAGGAAUUAUUCCUUCUUGAAUACAAUUCAUAUCAGCUCCCGAGUCUAUUAAUGCUACUAUUUCUAUUUCAAAAUCUUCAACUAUAAUUUUUAUAUUUGUAUACCAUCUUUGAAAAUAUAUUUUUGAUAUUGUAUUUAUAAAUGAUUCUAUAGGAGUUAUUUUAUUAGGUAUUAUUAUUCCUGGUUCUUGNNNNNNNNNNNNNNNNNNNNNNNNNNNNNNNNNNNNNNNNNNNNNNNNNNNUAUUUGAAAAACCAAAGGAAAAAAGGAAUAGUCAUCUUAACUUGUUGCAUAUAUUUUUCAUAUUGUUUUCUUAAUGCAUUUCUAACUUGAGGAGGAAGUUGUUGAAAAUAAUUUCUUUUUGCCGUAUUUUCAGGAGAAAAAUAAUUUGCUUUAAUUAAUUCUACUUCAGGAACAAAAUGAUUUCUUUUAAUGUAUUUUUUCUAAUGAUAUUUAUGUUUAAAGGAGGUUUAUCUUGAAAGAAAAUUUUUGACUCAGACUCUUCUUCAAAAAGAGAAAUUUCAGGAACAAAGUUUGAACUAUUUUUUAGUUGAUUUUCUAUUUGAUUUAAUUCUUCAUUAAAUUUUGAAUUAUUAAAUUUUAUAUGAUGACUCCAUGAUGAUGCAGCUACUGAUGCAGAUGAUGAUGCAGUAGAUGCAUUGAAAAUCUCAUUAUCUUAUAUGAAGAACUUUCUAAAUUAUAUGCAGAAUUAUUUAAUGCAGAUGCAGAACUUUCAUGGGACCUAAGAGAUCUGGAAGAACUAUUUCUACUUAAUUCCCUAAUAAUAUUACUCAUUGUCACAGAAAAUAAUCACAAUUUUAUCCUUAAUCAAUUCAGAUAAUUUCCUGAACAGGGACCACCACAAGCGGAUCAACACGGGACUUACGCUCCUUCUGCCCUUAAACACCGCUUAUCACAGGCUGACCAAACCGUUCACAGGAAAUUCAACCCGAACUAAGUCAGGACUAAAUCUGCGAUUAAUCACUGUUCCAACUCGUAACAUCACUCGGUUCUCAAGCAGAAAAUGGCUCUGAUACCAUUUGCACCCAGGACAUACAACAGUUCGUGCAUGCAAUAAUUAAGUAAUAAUUAAGCAAUAAUUAGCAAUAAUUAAAUCUGUCUAAUUAUCUCCAAGCAUAAAAACUGAAAUAUUUAAUGUCUAAUACUGUCUAAUUUAUUGCAGAAAUUUAAGCAUAAUAAAACAAAUAUUUGAAUCUGAAAAUAUUGUUUAUUGAAAAUAUACCUUGAUUACAGAGAGCUGAUGACUACAGGUUGUUGACAGCAGAGGAAUGACUCUAAUUCAAAAAGAAAAUUACAAAAGAAAAUUUUUGAACUCUCAGAAAUUUUUUGAAACUAUCUCUUGGCUGUUGGAACUCUCCCAACUCUUGGAACUCUUGAACCCUUGCCGACCUCUCACCCUAGCCGACCUCUGCCUGAUGAAGAAGGUUGAAGCUCCUUAUAUAGGUGAGGAUUCGGACUUUAGAUGAAUCUUCAAUCUUGAAAGUUUUGGAAUUUCAUCACAUGUAGGCCAGGUGGAGCAUUCUGCAGAAGAAAGAGUGAGGGAAGAUUUCAAAAUAUUCAAAACCUCAUUUUAACAUCAUUAUUAGAAAUUAUGUUCCUCUCAUAAACUCAAUAUAUUUUCAAAUUUGGUAUGAUAAAGACAAAAUCAUUAGAUAUUUGUUUUAUUCUUCAAUAGAGAUACUAAUAUUUGAAUUUUGUUUACAGAUGGAGCAAGAAAGAAUUACAUUUGGGAAAUUUACUCUUCCAGUAUUCCCUAAAUGUAAUAUGUCAUUUCGAAUUCAUAAAGAUAUUGAAGGUUUAGACAGAUCACAAAAAUGCAUUUUAGACAACCUCUGGAAUGCAAAAAGUGAUAUUCAAAAGUUGGAAGCUUUAAAUGCAUUAUCUUUCCAUUUUAAACAGUUAAAUGAUAAAUUAGAAAGUUUUUCUAACCCUUCAAGUUCUGAUAUACAUUGCACACCAAUGGAUACAGAUCUUGAAAAUUUCAUUUGCAGGAAAAAAGCAAAAGGAUCCAAAGAUGCAUUUUCAAAAGAUUUUCAAAAUGAAUUUCAAAAAGAACUUUCAAAACCAAAUGAAGAUUCAAAACUUUCUCAAGAAAGCCAAGAAUGUCAAAUUUCCAGAUUUUCAUUUUUCAAGCUGAAAAAUUUGGACCUUCUUGAAAACCUUAGACAGAUGAUCUGUGAAAAGGCUAAAGCUACAGGAGAAGCAAAGCAAGAGCAUAUCAUGCAAUUUCUUGCUGACUGUAGCACUUUUGGAAUUUCUAUUCAAGGGAUGAGCUUCACUUGGAUUUCUUGUUAUGACAAUACUUAUAAUAAUUGUCCAAAGACCGAUCCCUUGUGUAGAGAAAUUCCAUUAGAAAGGCAUGACUGUAAGUGUGCUCUUACUUACAGUAUAUGCAAAGCCAACAUUAACCUAGACAGUUAUAAACCAAUAGUCAGUCAAUAGAGUUAACUCCAUCCCUCCUCAUGGACUAUGGAGUUCUUUAUCAAUUGAUUUUCUCUCAUCCUGAUCAAACUGAUAAAUUUGGAAGAAAAUUAGUUGUUUGUGUUUUAAAUGCAUUCAUCAAUGAUUUCAAAUCUGUCGAACUCAUCAUAGAAAGUAAACCUCCUGAAUGGUCGAAUGAUGGAGGAGUCUACCCUGCUCAACAUCUCAUUUUACUCAAAGCCAAUCAGAGAAAACAUCAGCUGUUUGGUACAGAGGACCCUUGGCCCUGUACUAAAUCCAGUCUCAAAAAACAAAUCAGACAUUGGAGAUCAAGAAUGAUUGCAAGAGACCUUGAUUCCGAGAUUUAUAGUUCUUCUAACUAUAAUCUCAUUGCUGAAGAUAAUAUUCAAAAAAUCAUCUUUGCAAAUAACUUUUAUGAAGUCCCUCUUUUGUUUCAAACUCAAUUUACUUAUCUUGUUGAUAAGUAUAAAAGAGAAUAUGUCCUUGAAGAAGAAGCCAGAAAAACUUUUGAGAAAUAUCUCUUAGAAAUGCUCAGCUAAGAGAUAUCAAGAAUCAAGAAUCUUUUGUACAUCUGUAAAGUAGCUCUCUUAUGAUUAUCCAGUAAAAAAAAAAAAAAAAAAAAAAAAAAAAAGAACAGUAUAUGAAGUCUGAAGAAGUGCACAGUGCACAGUUUGUAAGUAAAAAAAAAAAGUGAAUAGUGUUUUGUGAAUAGUAAAUCCGUCCUUUAAAGUAAAAAGCAAGAUGACUCAUUACCCAUGUGACCAAAUGAAGAAGAAGAAAGCAAAUUUACCUCCUGCAUACACGUGGAAGACAUCAAAGGCAUAAUGCCUUCUUGAAAGCCCGAAGCCUUUGCUAUAAAUAGGGCUCAAAGGCUUCCUCCCAAGGCAGAGGUCGGCAAGGGUUCAAGAGCUUGGUAGAGAGUUCCAAGAGAGAUAGUUUCAAGAGUGAAAAAAUUUGAGAGUUCAAAAUUUCUGAGAGUUCAAAAAUAUUUUCUUGUAAUUUUCUUUUUGAGUUAGAGUCAUUCCUCUGCUGUCAACAACCUGUAGUCAUCAACUCUCUGUAUUGAGGUAUAUUUUCAAUAAACAAUAUUUUAUUCAAAUAUUUGUGUUAUUAUGCUUAAAUUUCUGCAAUAAAUUAGACAGUAUUAGACAUUAAAUAUUUCUGUUUUUAUGCUUGGAGAUAAUUAGACAGAUUUAAUUAUUGCUAAUUAUUGCUUAAUUAUUACUUAAUUAUUGCGUGCAUGAACUGUUGUAUGUCCUGGGUGCAAAUGGUAUCAGAGCCAUUUUCUGUUUGAGAACCGAGUGGUGUUACGAGUUGGAACAGUGAUUAAUCGCACAUUUAGUCCUGACUUAGUUCGGGUUGAAUUUCCUAUGAACGGUUUGGUCAGCCUGUGAUAAGCGGUGUUUAAGGGCAGAAGGAGCGUAAGUCCCGUGUUGAUCCGCUUGUGGUGGUCCCUGUUCAGGAAAUUAUCUGAAUUGAUUAAGGAUAAAAUUGUGAUUAUUUUCUGUGACAAUGAGUAAUAUUAUUAGGGAAUUAAGUAGAAAUAGUUCUUCCAGAUCUCUUAGGUCCCAUGAAAGUUCUGCAUCUGCAUUAAAUAAUUCUGCAUAUAAUUUAAAAAGUUCUUCAUAUAAGAUAAUGAGAUUUUCAAUGCAUCUACUGCAUCAUCAUCUGCAUCAGUAGCUGCAUCAUCAUGGAGUCAUCAUAUAAAAUUUAAUAAUUCAAAAUUUAAUGAAGAAUUAAAUCAAAUAGAAAAUCAACUAAAAAAUAGUUCAAACUUUGUUCCUGAAAUUUCUCUUUUUGAAGAAGAGUCUGAGUCAAAAAUUUUCUUUCAAGAUAAACCUCCUUUAAACAUAAAUAUCAUUAGAAAAAAAUACAUUAAAAGAAAUCAUUUUGUUCCUGAAGUAGAAUUAAUUAAAGCAAAUUAUUUUUCUCCUGAAAAUACGGCAAAAAGAAAUUAUUUUCAACAACUUCCUCCUCAAGUUAGAAAUGCAUUAAGAAAACAAUAUGAAAAAUAUAUGCAACAAGUUAAGAUGACUAUUCCUUUUUUCCUUUGGUUUUUCAAAUAUAGGAAACCCCUUAAAAGAAUUGCAACAUUAACUUCAAGAAAAGCAAUAGAAAAUUCUCCACAUAAUAAAAAAGAGUCAAGUAAAGAAUCAAAAGAAGAAUUAAGUGAAACAAAAUUUAAUAAAAUUUUGUUUUCUUCUGCCCCGGGUGAGGUGGAGGAAACAGAAACAAAAACAAAAACAUCAACAGAAACAUCAAAACCAACAAAGAUAGAAAAUCCAAAAGAAAUCAAAAAGAUAAAUGUAAUAUCGUCAAAAGUAGAUAAGCAAAUAUUUUUUGAUGUUGUAGACAAAAUUCAAGAUAAAGAAAUACAAAGAAAUUAUUUACAAAAUUUAAAAAAUUUAAUUCUCACUGAAAAUCCAAAUAAAACUCAAGACAUCAAACCUAAUCAAUACUCAAUGGAUGAAAUUUAUAAUAGAUUCAAAAAGACUCAAAGGCCAAUAACUAUUAAAGACUUGGAAGAAGAAAUAAAAGAAAUAAAAAGUCAAAUAAAUCAAUUAAAAUUAGAUAAUGAACAAAUAAAAUUAGAAAAUGAAAUAAUAAAACAAGAAAAUGAUCAAAUAAAACAAGAGAAUGAACAAAUUAGAAACGUAAUACAAUAUAAACAAGAUUUAGCCGAAACUUCUGAAAACCAAGAACCAGGAAUAAUAAUACCUAAUAAAAUAACUCCUAUAGAAUCAUUUAUAAAUACAAUAUCAAAAAUAUAUUUUCAAAGAUGGUAUACAAAUAUAAAAAUUAUAGUUGAAGAUUUUGAAAUAGAAAUAGUAGCAUUAAUAGACUCAGGAGCUGAUAUGAAUUGUAUUCAAGAAGGAAUAAUUCCUACUAAAUAUUAUGAAAAAACAGGACAAGAACUUUUUGCUGCAAAUAAAGGAAAAUUAGAAAUAAAAUAUAAACUUCAAAAUGUUCAUAUAUGUCAAGAUAAUUAUUGUUUUAGAACUCAAUUUAUAUUAGUACAAAAUAUGAAUGAACCUCUAAUAUUAGGAACUCCUUUUAUUACCUUACUUUACCCUUUUCAAGUAAAUGAUGAAGGUGUCAAAACUACAAUAUUAGGAAAUACCAUAUUUUUUCCCUUUAUAUAUCCAUUAACUAAAAAAGAAAUACAUCAAGUUCAAAGUGAUUCAAUAAAUAAGAACAUAAAUUUAAUUCAAAGAAAGAAAGCUCAUAUAAAUUAUCUAUCAAAAGAAAUUCAAUAUAAAACUUGUUCUACAAUUUAUAAUUUAAUAGUAAAUUUUAAUUUUAUAAUUAAACUAUUUAAGAAUAAUAAAUAAAAAUAUUAUAUCAUACAAUUAAAUAUACUAAGCAAUUUGUAUUUUACUAUAUAUUUUAUACUUAUUUUUCAGUCAAAUAAAUAAUACUGAAAUUAUUGUUAAUGGCAUUAAAUACAAAUUUAAUGGGAAACAGGAUCUCAUGCUUGUUAGGUUAUCCAUGGGGAAUAAAACAGCCUAAGGUCGAUCCUAAAAAUCCUAAACUUAGAACUUAGUUUAGGGAGAAUUUUGUUUUGAGCCUAGUUGGGCCAAAAAAAUUGACUAAAGAUCCAUAUAUCAUGCACAUUUAAACCCAAGACACCAAAUAAAGUGUAAAAAUUAAGUUUAUGGAUAUUAUCCUUCAUUAAUCUUUAAAAUAGCUUUAACCCCUAUAUAGACACAUAGUGAGUGUAAAUUUCAAAUUUUUUUUUUUUUUUGUGUUGUUUUCCCUUUUCUAUUCCCAAUUAAAUAUUACUCAUUUCUAACUUUUUUAUUUUUCUUUUUUAAAGAUAUUGAAUCUUUUUACUCUUAUUAUAAGUAAGAAUAAAAAAAUUUCAUAUAAAAUUUAAUGGAUAAUCAAUGAAUGAAAUUUAAUUCUUUUUAUUAUUUUUAUAUAAAAAUAGUAUUAAACAAGGUUUUCAAUUUUUAUUUUUAAAAAUAGUUUUCAUUUUUUAAUUAAAUGUUUUUUCAAAAAGAAAAUAUAAAAAAUAUAAAUCAUAUUACCAUUUUUUUAGAAAGUAUUUUUAAAAAUAGUUUUUGAAAGUAAUUUUUCUUUAUUUAUAAUUUAAAAUAGAAAAUAAAGCUAAUUUUCAAUUAUUUAUAAAAAAAAAGUUUUAAAAAACAAUGAAAAAUCCAAAUGGUUAAAAUAGAAUUAUUAUGGUUGAAUGAAUAGUGGUGCAAUAAAAACCAAAAAAUCUUAUGUGAAAGGUCAAUGAGUAUUUUGAUCUUUUGAUAUCAUAUAUCAUUUCUAUCAAUUAUGUAAGUUAUAUGAACCAAAUCUUAAUUUUUGGACAUAGUUGGACCUAAAACACAAUUGUCCCCUUAGUUAAUGUGCAUAGACCUGUUAUUGUCUCAAGGUGGGUAGAAGAAUUGGUGACAUUAUUUGGAAGAAUGAUCAAUAAAGACGAAGAUGACUUUGUUUUCUUUGGUUGACUUUGAAACAUUGGAGUAGAAUUUGUGUCUUUCUUAGAAUGAGAGAUGACAUGGUUAAAAUAACAGUACAUAGUUAGCAAGAUCAAGGAAACAAAGUUUAAGUUGGUGACUCCAUGGUUUCAGUUGAUGUGUGGCAAAUAAUGGGUCAAUUGUCCAUUUGUAAACAUAUGAGUUCACCAAACCUUGGACUUGGAAACUCUCCAACUAUCUCAUUACUGGAAGGAAGACGACGACUAGAGUUCUCUAUAUGUAGCUUUGUUAAGUUUGAUUCAUUCUUAUGGUCAAAGUCUAUGUCGCUUUACCUCAUUGGAAAAAAAAGAAAAAAAAAACAAAUCCUUGAAGAAUUGUUUGUCUAGAAUGAUUUGAACGUUUGUUGAGUGGUCUUGUCAUUGGAAGAUUAUUAGGGAAUGAAAAUGACUACCGUUUUUAUUUUUAUUUUUUAUUUUCAUUUUUAUAUAUAGCCUUCUUGAGUUUGAUUCACUCUUAAGGUCAAGGUCUUUCAAUUGAUUGUGUCUUGUGUGAUUUGAAUGCAUGUUAACUCUAGUGGUUGGGUGACAACUCCGAUCGCCUAUUCUUUAUUUCAUUUGGAAAAAAAUUGCAUUCAACAGUUUGAAUGCCUGUUGAGUCAAGUGGUUGCCUAGCAACUUGUACAGUGUAUAUUAUUUUACAUUCUAUCAACUCUAGGUUUUUUAAGACAACCAUCCAUCCAUUCUAGGUUCAAACUUCAAAGAAGCCUUUACAGCUUUAAGACAAUCACCCGAGAAUAUGAAACCAAAUAGAUAAAUACCUUUCAUGAUUAUGGACCAAAGCUACAUUAGGGUUAGGGAUUGACUUUAUACCAUUUAUAACAAUCCGUUUCUAAUAGUGUGUAUAUUAUUCGUUCUGGACCCAAAAAGAUCCUUACGGUUUUGAAAUGCGUUCAUAUAAUUAAGAGGAACUCAUAUUUAUUCAACGUUGAAACUUUCUUUGUUCUCAUAUGUGAGAUAUCUCAAUUGUUACGAGACAGGGACAAACAUGGUUUUGAGGGUUAGUCUUGUAAUCAUCUUUAUGUUACAGAUCCUAUAUUCCUAUUUACAUUUAAUUUUUUGUAGACCUGAUCCAUGAGAACGGAGACUUGGAGAAGUCUUCCACUCCCUUUGAAAGGGCUAUUAUUAGGUAAAACAAUGGUAAGACUUUUUGUCUGUGAAGACUUGACUUGGGCUUGUUCCAGACUGGUGAAGGCACUUUCCCCUACUUCACUUUGGAAAAAAUGCACUUUUGGGUUUUGAGUUGACUGCAUUGACUUGAUACAAGUUUACAAUAAUGGCCGAGCUGAUCAAACUUACAAUUAUUAUGCAGUUUUGUUGUUGCCAAAACUUGUUACAUAUACUGGGGAUGAAGAUAACUUGUAAUCCUUUUGUUUUAUGAUAUCAGAAGUUUUUGUUUAGGCCCUUGAUAUCCAUCUUAGGCUUAAUUUUGGUGCUAUGUAUUCUUGAAAACGAAGCUGAUUGUGACUACCAUAUAUUUAGUGGAUGGCCUUGUUUUUGUUGCAUGUAUCAGUUUUGGUGAAAAUUUUGGACUCUCACUUGUAGAAUUAGAAAGGAAGCUUCGGGGAUUUGACAUUUCUUUUCUCUGGUUUGAUCAAUCCAUUUGAGCUCACCAAAUUUGACCCUUUUUAAUGGGUCACACCUCAGCUCUUCAUAAGUUUAUGGUAGGCCAAGAUUUGCCUUGGUUCCCUUUACUUUCGAGUAUAUAUGUAGCCUUUUUUUUUUUAGUAUGAAAAUCACAAUAGCUUCAUAAUAAAGCUAACUAGGGUAAAGUUUUUACCUUAAAAUAAAUAAAAAAUUGUUCUCAUUAGCAGUUUUUUGCAGGACAAGAAAAAUAUCGAAGAAAACAGGUGUUAUACGAGAAAACGGAAACUUGAACAUGAAUAAACCAUUAAUCUCAUUGUUUAACAAUGCUAUAUUUAGAACAUCAAAUCUUUGAUGUUCAAGCCUUCAAUCCUCUUAUCCUUGCACAUUGUCAGCCGGUACCCGAGGUGCAAUUUUCUAUUCACCCACAAAAAGUCUUUUUGAUAUUUUUACAACUUUAUCAAUUACUCGAACGAAAUUUAGUUAUGGAAAAGAACUGGGACUUUUGAAGAUGCAUUACAUUGUGUUGAAGAUGCAGGAGGUUCGAAACCAUGCAUUAUUGGUAGACUAGGUAGAGUUCCACUCAAAUUAUUUCUUACCUUGCUAAAUUCUCUGUGACAACAUCUGAGAAAUAAUCUCCAUGGUUGGCCUGGAUUGUGGAUUGGCAUUUAAACAUGCAGUUGCGAGCUUUAUGAUAGCUACCACUUCCCCUUCGUCUUGGGGUGUGAGAGGUGGGAGUCGCGGGUCCAACAUGUCUUUCAACACUAUGUUCUUCUCUGGGGAAACUGAUAUAGACAAGAUUUGAUCUCCAGGAUGUCUUCCUUUGAUAACUUCCAGUGCUAUCACUCCAAAGCUAUAGACAUCGGUUUUUUCUGUGACCUUCAUUGUAUAAGCAUGCUCUGCAAAAUUAGAAGAUAAAUAUUACAUCGUGAGCAUGUUAGAUUUCUUUGUUAGUUGAGGAGUGAAGUGUACCUGGUGCAACGUAUCCGACUGUGCCUGCAAGUUUGCUCUGAUUUGAUGAGUCUACCUUAAGAAGCUUGGCAGUGCCCAAGUUAGAAAUAUGAGCCUCAUAUUGAGAAUCCAGCAGAAUAUUGUUGCUCGAUAUAUCCCGAUGAACAAUCGGGGGUGAGCAAUCAUGGUGCAUGUAAGACAAAGCGUGAGCCACUCCUUUGAUGAUCUUGACCCUUGUAGCCCAACCCAAUUUUUUAGCUUCUUCUCUGCUCAAGAUUGUAGCCAAGCUACCUCUUUCAAGGUACUCAUAGACCAAAAAGGAGUGUCGUGGAUAUGAACAGAAACCAAGAAGUCUCACAAUGUUUCGAUGCUUGAUCUCUGUCAUUGCCCUUACUUUAUUCAAGAAAUCCUUUUGAUUUGCCAUAUCCAUGUCGGAUGGGUGAAGCUUCUUCACAGCUACUAUAUUACCUGAUGGCAGCUCUGCUUUGUAAACGCUUCCAUGCCCUCCCUUUCCGAUGCAAUACAUGGGAUCAAAGUCCUUGGUGGCCUUUAUAAUCUCUUCAUACAUUGCUCUUCCAUCAAAAGUUGAUAUUGAGAGGAGAUUAUUCUGUACAUCACCUUCUUCGAUUUCUGGAGUUCUCUCUCUUCUUUCAGCAAUCAAGAAAAUCCCAAUGAAAGCAGAAAGAAGUACAAGUGCUCCCAAAAGAGGGAAUAUGAUAAUAAACACAACUUUGUGGCUCUUUUUGACAGGUUGUUGGUCUACUCCAAAACCAUAUUUGCAAGGUUGCAACCCUUUAACAUUGCCGCACAAAUCUUUGUUCCCCUUUAGCACCUCAAUGGUAGCAUUUCGAAAUGCAUUGCUGUGAGGAAUGGGACCCUGCAACUGAUUGUAGGAAAUGUCAACAUACGACAAGGCAGGCAUGUCCUCAAAAGCCUUUGGGAUGAAACCACAAAGGUUGUUAUGGGAGAGAUCAAGCAUCUCCAAACUCUCCAAACCUUGGAUCUGUGCCGGGAUGCCACCUGUAAGCAAGUUGUGACUCAGAUCUAGCUGGGAGAGGUGACUCAGCUUACCCAUCUGAACCGGAAUUCCGUGGCUGAGUUUGUUAUUGCUCAGGUUCAAGUAAUGCAAGUCCAAGCAGUCGCCCAAGUGCUCUGGUAUUGACCCAUUCAAUCUAUUGGCUGAAAGGUCUAGAUACUCAAGGUGGGACAGCGAUCCAAGUUCAGGAGGAAUACUCCCGGAAAGUUGGUUGUCAUUCAAUAUCAGCCCCAACAGAGAAGUCAAACUUCCCAUUUUCUUUGGAAUUUCCCCAACCAAAUGAUUUGAAGAAAGAUCAAGCAAGAUUAGAUUAGUUGAGAUUCCAAAAUCUUCUGGUAUGCUCCCUGUAAUAUUGUUCCCGGCAAUCUCCAGCCUUUGUAGUUGUGGGCAUCUUCCCCAGUUAUGAGAGAGUUCACCAUGAAACCUGUUGUAGCUCAAAUCGAUGAAUUCCAGGUUUGGACAGUCACCAACUACCUCAGAUACAUUUCCAGUGAGUCGGUUUCCCUGGAACAGAGCUCUGGUUAAGUUUCUGCAAUUUUUCAAGCUUUUGGGGAUGGGACCACUGAGAUGGUUGUCACUCACUGUAAAGCGCUCCAGAGAUCCACCUUGGCAAAUGCCUUCCGGUAAAGAGCCAAACAGCUGGUUUGUGUCGAUUUCUAGCACAACCAACUUAUGAAGUUUCCCAAUUUCUUGAGGAAAGUAACCAGAAAGACGGUUAUCACGGAGGAAUAAAAUUUCUAAGUUGGUUAGAUUACCCAGUGAAGUAGGAAUGGAACCAUUGAGUUGAUUUUCUGAAAGUUCUAGAUCAACAAGAGACUUCAAGUUACCUAUUUCUUGAGGAAUGGGACCGGAAAGUUGAUUGGCAUAGAGAUGCAGGAGGGUUAGGCCACUCAGAUCACAUAAUGACACAGGGAUUGGGCCUGAAAGAUUGUUUCCGUAGAGGCUUAGACCUUGCAGGGAUUUCAAAUUUCCUAUUUCUGGUGGGAUAGGCCCAGAGAGGCUAUUGUUGAACAAGUACAACACGGUUAAAUGUUUCAAAUUUCCAAAAGUGGAAGGGAUGGGACCUGUGAGAUUGUUGGUAUCCGAGUAUAGCUGAACAAGGUUGGUGAGAUUUCCCAUUUCUGGAGGAAUGGAACCCGAAAGUUGAUUUUCAUAGAGAUACAAAGAGGCCAAGUUGCUCAAAUUACCCAAAGAAGCAGGAAUAGAACCCUCCAGUUGGUUGGUGUACAAAGCAAGCUCAUAAAGAGACGUCAACUGACCUAUUUCAUGAGGAAUUGAACCAUUCAACUGAUUUUGAACCAGGUGUAAGACCUCAAGAUUAGUUAAUAGGCCGAUCUCGGGCGGAAUCCCUCCUGAGAACUGGUUGAUAGAGAGAUCAAGGUAUUUGAGCUUGGAGAGGAGACCGAUUUGGGGUGGGAUAGGACCAGAGAGGUUGUUCAUGCUGAUAUCAACAUACGCAAGAUUGGGAAAAGAUGAGAAUGAGAAGGCUUGGAGCGUACCUCCUAAACCCGACUCUGUGAGGUUUAUUCUGAUGACGCUCCCUGCAUGGUUGCAGGAUAUUCCGUACCAUUUGCAUGGACUGACUUCUGUUCCAAGGUGGGUAGAAGAAUUGGUGAAGUUGUUAGGAUAAAGAGUCCACGAAAGGAGGGAAGAAUGGUUAUGGUUGUGAAGGGUAGCUUUCCAUUUGAGGAGAGCUUGUGUUUCUUCAUUAGAAUAAGAAGAAACAUGGUCUGAAGAAAUCAACAUAACCAAGAGGAGCAAGGAAACAAGGGAGAGCAUUUUCUGUAAGGUUGAGGGUGCCAUGGUUUUGGUUGAUGAAUUGCAUAUGCUGCUUCACAACUUCAUUUAUACACAUUUGGUUCCUUUGUUCGUCCCACUCGGAAACUUCCUUGUUCACACUUCACACCAAUUAAAAUUCAGCCCUUUAAUGUCAAGAUUGAGGUCUUUUAAAGCAUGGCUCCCUUUUUCUUUCUUUUUGCCUGGGGUUCCCUUUCUACUAGCAUGGUGGUCUUCCUAUAUCUUUGUGGUCGUCGAAGUCUUCUCCGGUCUCUUUCAAAAUGAAUAAUGACGAUGAAGGUUGGUUGGAGACUAACGCUCUCUUUGACAAUUAUUUUGGACAACAGAGCAGGUUUAGUAAUAAAAAAAUUAUUUUUUAUUUUUUAUUCUUAAACACAGAAAAUGAUAUGUUUUUUAGGGACUUUUUUUUUAAUUAUCAUCAAUUAUUUUGAUUUGUUUUUUAAAAAUUAUUUUAAAAAAUAACUAUAAAAAAUGGAGAAUAAUUAAAAAAAAUGGACAAAAAUUUUAUUUUUAAAAAUAUUUAAAAACAUUAAAUAUGUGAUAAAAAUAUUUAAGAUUUCUAAAUACAUUUUUAUUUUACCAUUCAUCAAAGAACUGCCGUUAAAAACUGUUAUAAAAAAAUAGUUGUUAAAGAUAACUUAAUUUUAUUUGAAUCUUUGUUUUUAUCUUUACGAUGAUCUUCUUCUUUUACUCUUUGUAAAAGAAAACCGAACUUGAAAAUUUGUUUCAGUUAAGUAAUUAUAAAAGAAAAUUUUAGUCUACUUAAUAACUAAGUUGAUUUAUUAAAACUUAAUAAUUAAUAUUUACCCUAGGCUUGGUUUUUAGAAAAUUUUAAAUGAAUUGAAUAUGAAAAAAAAAUGAAGUUUUAAAAAGAAAAAAACAAAAUUUAAGUUAAUAAAUUAUUUUUAUAUGUUUUUAAAUUUUAUUUGAAUGAUUUAUUUUUAUAUAAAGAAUAAAUAAUUUAAAAAUGCUUAAAUUUUUAAAUGAUUUUAAUUAUAUUUAAUUUAUUUAUUUUUAUGUAUUUUACAUUUUAAUAUUUAUUAUAAUAUGAAAUAUCAUAUGUUUAUUAUUAUUUGAAAUUGCUUUACAAUUUAUAAUUUAAUAGGAAAUUUUAAUUUAUUUAUUGAUAGUAUUCAUAAUUAAACUAUUUAAAACUUAUAAAUAAAAAAUAGUAUAUUAUAUAAUUAAAACAAUUUGUAUAGAUUAAAAUACUGUAGUAAUGAUAUAUAUUAGUAUUUUACUGUGUAUUUUAUACUUAUUUUUCAGUUAAUUUAAUUUUAAUUUUAAUUUUUAAUUUUUAAUUUUAAUUAAAACAAUUUAACUUUAAUUUUUUAAUUAUUAUUUUUUUAACUUUUAAGUAAUAUAAAAAAAAUUAAAGAAAAAUAAAAGGAAAUGGAUAAGAAAAGUAAAUCCGUGAUUCGGCCCAUUCCAGUCCACAGUUACCGCCGACGACACCGACGUCAGUCAACCGGCAACCGCGACGCCGCCUCAGCAGCGCAGUCACUGCCGCCAUCUCCGGAAACUCCACAGCACCACUCCUUUCCACCCAGAUGCCACGCGCCGUCGCUCACGGCAUCUCCGCCCGUGGCCUUGCCAUUCAAGGCGCCGCUCCGUCGCCGACUCCUUCCACACCCACCCCAUUCACUAACGCCAAGACCACCAUGGUCUCGGCCACUGCCUCUGGUAGCCAACAUGGCUGCCAUCUUCAUCCUCCAUCUCACCUCUCCGCCGUACCCCACUACCAAUCUCCUUCGGCCUCCAUGAUCCCCAUCUCCGCCGCUGAACCCAUCACCCUACCGGCGCCAACAUCUUUUCUUCUUUAUUUAUUUAUUUAUUUAUUCCAGUGCUGCUCAUAUAUUUUGAUAUGUAAAUAUUUAAUUUGUUAAUUAGAAAAUACAUGAGUAGCAGUCUUGGUAGAUGAAUGGAUGAAUUUUCUGCAUGAGUAGCAGAGAUUUAUCUACUUCUAUUCACACAAAACCACACUUUAUUUCUUUGGGCACAAAGCCACAAUUUCUAUGAGUACAAAUCACACCGGGUACUUGAUGUAGAAAGAAAGACUAAACAAACUCAAAAGGCAUUACAUAGUGCUGAAGAUGCAGGAGGUUCGAAACCAUGUGUUACGGUAGACUAGGUAGAGUUCCCCACAAACUAAAUCUUACCUUACUACUUUCUCUGUGAUAACAUCUGAGAAACAGUCUGCAUGGUUGGCCUGGAUUGCGGGUUGGCUUUUAAGCAUUCAAUUGCUUGCUUUAGGAUAGCUAUCACUUCCCCCUCAUCCUGGGGUGUGAGAGGUGGGAGUCGGGGGUCCAACAUGUCUUCCAACGCUAUGUUAUCCUUCUCUGGGGAAACUGAUAGAGACAAGAUCUGAUCUCCAGGAUGUCUUCCUUUGAUAACUUCCAGUGCUAUUACUCCAAAGCUAAAGACAUCAGUUUUUUCGGUCACCUUCAUUGUAUAAGCAAGCUCUGCAAAAUUAAAAGAUAAAUAUUAUAUCGUGGACAUGUUUCAUACCUUGUUUAAUUCAAGAGUGAACCGUACCUGGUGCAAGAUAUCCGAAUGUGCCUGCAAGUAUGCUCUGAUUCGAUGAGUCUAGCUUUAGAAGCUUGGCAGUGCCGAAGUCAGAAAUAUGAGCUUCAUACUGAGAAUCCAGCAGAAUAUUGUUGCUUGAUACAUCCCGAUGAACAAUAGGGGGUGAGCAAUCAUGGUGCAUGUAAGCCAAAGCAUGAGCCACUCCUUUAAUGAUAUUGACCCUUGUAGCCCAACCCAAUUUCUUAGCUUCUUCUCUGCUCAAGAUUGUAGCCAGGCUACCUCUUUCAAGGUACUCGUAGACCAAAAACUUGUGUCGUGGAUGUGAACAGAAACCAAGAAGUUUCACUAUGUUUCGAUGCUUGAUUUCUGUUAGUGCCCUUAUUUCAUUUAAGAAAUCCUUUUGAUUUGCCAUCUCUGUGUCGGAUGGGUGAAGCUUCUUCACAGCUACUAUAUUACUUGAUGGCAGCUCUGCUUUGUAAACACUUCCAUGGCCUCCCUUUCCUAUGCAAUACAUGGGAUCAAAAUCCUUGGUGGCCUUUAUAAUCUCUUCAUACAUUGUUCUUCCAUCAAAAUUUGAUAUUGAAAAGAGAUCAUUCUGUACGUCACCUUCUUCGAUUUCUGGAGUUCUCUCUCUUCUUUCAGCAAUCAAGAAAAUCCCAAUGAAAGCAAAAAGAAGUACAAGUGCUCCCAAAAGAGGGAAUAUGAUAAUAAACACAACUUUGUGGCUCUUUUUGACAGGUUGUUGGUCUACUCCAAAACCAUAUUUGCAAGGUUGCAACCCUUUAACAUUGCCGCACAAAUCUUUGUUCCCCUUUAGCACCUCAAUGGUAGCAUUUCGAAAUGCAUUGCUGUGAGGAAUGGGACCCUGCAACUGAUUGUAGGAUAUGUCAACAUACGACAAGGCAGGCAUGUCCUCAAAAGCCUUUGGGAUGAAACCACAAAGGUUGUUAUGGGAGAGAUCAAGCAUCUCCAAGCUUUGCAAACCUUGGAUCUGUGGCGGGAUGCCACCUGCAAGCAAGUUGUGACUCAGAUCUAGCUGGGAGAGGUGACUCAGCUUACCCAUCUGAACCGGAAUUCCGUGGCUGAGUUUGUUAUUGCUCAGGUUCAAGUAAUGCAAGUCCAAGCAGUCGCCCAAGUGCUCUGGUAUUGACCCAUUCAAUCUAUUGGCUGAAAGGUCUAGAUACUCAAGGUGGGACAGCGAUCCAAGUUCAGGAGGAAUACUCCCGGAAAGUUGGUUGUCAUUCAAUAUGAGCCCCAACAGAGAAGUUAAACUUCCCAUUUUCUUUGGAAUUUCCCCAACCAAAUGAUUUGAAGAAAGAUCAAGCAAGGUUAGAUUAGUUGAGAUUCCAAAAUCUUCUGGUAUGCUCCCUGUAAUAUUGUUCCCGGCAAUCUCCAGCCUUUGUAGUUGUGGGCAUCUUCCCCAGUUAUGAGAGAGUUCACCAUGAAACCUGUUGUAGCUCAAAUCGAUGAAUUCCAGGUUUGGACAGUCACCAACUACCUCAGAUAUAUUUCCAGUGAGUCGGUUUCCCUGGAACAGAGCUCUGGUUAAGUUUCUGCAAUUUUUCAAGCUUUUGGGGAUGGGACCACUGAGAUGGUUGUCACUCACUGCAAAGCGCACCAGAGAUCCAGCUUGGCAAAUGCCUUCCGGUAAAGAGCCAAACAGCUGGUUUGUGUCGAUUUCUAGCACAACCAACUUAUGAAGUUUCCCAAUUUCUUGAGGAAUGUAACCAGAAAGUUGAUUAUCACGGAGGAAUAAAAUUUCUAAAUUGGUUAGAUUACCCAGUGAAGUAGGAAUGGAACCAUUGAGUUGAUUUUCAGAAAGUUCUAGAUCAACAAGAGACUUCAAGUUUCCUAUUUCUUGAGGAAUGGGACCGGAAAGUUGAUUGGCAUAGAGAUGCAGGAGGGUUAGGCCACUCAGAUCACAUAAUGACACAGGGAUUGGACCAGAAAGAUUGUUUUCGUAGAGGCUUAGCUCUUGCAGGGAUUUCAAAUUUCCUAUUUCUGGUGGGAUAG